Molecule: long non-coding RNA, 803 nt
Organism: Lagopus leucura (white-tailed ptarmigan)
Lineage: Eukaryota; Metazoa; Chordata; Aves; Galliformes; Phasianidae
Exons: 3
Source: RefSeq, a predicted model, not a curated record
UGUGGAAAUGAUCCAUCCAGGAAGAUAAUGCCACCCCAGCCCUGCACAAGAAGCCUAUGUUGUGAGCACAGAGGUCUGAAGAGCUGGGUGCUGUCACAGAACAUCCUUGCCUAUCCAGUGGGAGGUUGCAAAGGAAGUGGAAUCUGCUUGGCUUAUCAUUCAGAUAUGACUCAUAACUCAAGGAAGAUUCAAGUGAUGUGGACAUAAAUCACAAAGACUUAGAAGACAAAACAAAACCAAAAAUACCUGCCAGUUGGUGGGGAAGUGGAGAGGGCAGAGUAUGCUAACUUAAACACAAAUUCAGGAAUUCUAAAGCUAUAAUUAUCAGUAAUGUUUUUGUAUCAUUAUUGCAGACUGUUUCUUUAGGAUAGAGUGUUGUCCUUGAUCAAAACUUCACAACAAAUUACAGCGGAGUCUGAGUGUUUUGAUCAGAAACGUUUACAGCAAUGGAAACUGACAUUGAACAUAUUGUUCUUUCCUUUUCUUUCAAUUUCUGUUUAGAGAUGAAAAGUUUCCAAACACUGGUGAUCUACAAUACCUAUUGUUCAAAUAAUUUCAUGCUCUGGAAUCUUGUACAAAAGAAAACUGUCUUCCCCUCAUCCCCCAUUGGAAUUAUUAUUAAAAUGUACACAUCUGAACUCCUAUAUUGAGAGGCACAAAGCUCUAACCUUGAGCUAAAAGAGAUAACUAUAGCCAGCAACAAAUACAAAUGAGUCCAACUGAUUCUCUAAUGACAUUGCUACUCAGUAGGACAGAGUAUGGAAGGUACUGCUUGACUCCAAGUGAAUACAUCUUAUCUAACA